This 425-nucleotide ribosomal RNA is filed under the name uncultured rumen bacterium. RNAcentral's name for it is "bacterial SSU rRNA". It matches the Rfam family "Bacterial small subunit ribosomal RNA", at positions 354 to 776 of the family's 1533-position model. The record is from RNAcentral.
GUGGGGAAUAUUGGUCAAUGGGCGAGAGCCUGAACCAGCCAAGUAGCGUGCAGGAUGACGGCCCUAUGGGUUGUAAACUGCUUUUAUACGGGGAUAAAGUCGAGGACGUGUCCUCGUUUGUAGGUACCGUAUGAAUAAGGACCGGCUAAUUCCGUGCCAGCAGCCGCGGUAAUACGGAAGGUCCGGGCGUUAUCCGGAUUUAUUGGGUUUAAAGGGAGCGCAGGCCGAUGGUUAAGCGUGACGUGAAAUGUAGCCGCUCAACGGCUGCACUGCGUCGCGAACUGGCCGUCUUGAGUGAGUUCGAUGUGGGCGGAAUUCGUGGUGUAGCGGUGAAAUGCUUAGAUAUCACGAAGAACUCCGAUUGCGAAGGCAGCCCACAAGGCCUUUACUGACGCUAAAGCUCGAAGGUGCGGGUAUCGAACAGG